Molecule: unclassified non-coding RNA, 218 nt
Filed under: Glomeraceae sp.
Lineage: Eukaryota; Fungi; Glomeromycota; Glomeromycetes; Glomerales; Glomeraceae
Description: partial contains 5.8S ribosomal RNA and internal transcribed spacer 2
Rfam family: 5.8S ribosomal RNA (bases 1-65)
Source: RNAcentral
GUGAAUCAUCAAAUUUUUGAACGCACAUUGCACUCUCCUCUGAGAGUAUGCCUGUUUGAGGGCCAGCCUAUUAAAAAUCGACAUCGUUGCUUUUUCGCGGUGGCGUUCGUCGGAAAUUGGGUCAUCUUAAAUCCUUUUGAUUUAAGCGACUUAAAAUUUUCUUUUGGUUCCAUGGACGUUACUUAGCGCUAUUUCUUUACACGUGUAAGGUCUCGAUU